GGCGGCGGCGGCGGGAGCCGGAGCACAGCGCGCCCAGGAGCCGGAGCAGCGGCACUGCCUGAACCAGACAGCAGCCUUGGGUGCAGGCGUGGUCCUGAGGGCAGAUGGGCACUGCUGAAGACCCGGCCUGGCUCCAGCUGCUUCAAAAGGACUCCAGCCCCCCAGGACCCCGACCCACAGCCUUCUUCUGCCCACAGGAUGGGAGCCUGGGGGCUGGCAGCCCGGCCAUGAGGGAUUACUGCCCCUCCCAGCAAAAGGAGGCACCCUCCGAGGAGACAUUGGAGGCACCUGGAGCCUCCAUCUCAGGGACACCAGAAACCACCAUGUCUGGGAAGCCAGAGCCUGUGUCCUCCGUGAAAACUGAGCCCAAAUCCUCAGAUGACAGAAUUCCUAUGUUCUUGGAGAAGAUGGAUUCCAAGUCCUCAAAGCAGGCCGAUUCCACUUCCACAGGAAAGGAGGAUCCUGGGUCCUCGCAGAAGGCAGAUCCUAUGUUUACAGGACAAGCAGAGCCUGAAAUCUUAGGAAAGGGGGAUCCUGUGGCUCCUGGAAGGAGGGAUCCCAUGACUCUAAGAAAGGAAGAUCUUGGAUCCCUGGGAAAAGUAGAUUCUGUGUGCUCCAGCAAGAUGGAUACAGUGUCACCGAGAAAGGAGGAUCCUGGGUCUUUGAGAAAGAUGGAUCCUGUGUCCUCAGACAAAGUGGACCCUGUAUUCCCAAGAAAGGAGGAGCCCAGGUAUUCAGGAAAAGAGCAUCCCGUGUCCUCAGAAAAGGUGGCUCCUACAUCUGCAGAAAAGGUAGAUCUUGUGUUGUCAGGAAAGAGAGAUCCUGGGCCCUUGGGAAAGGCGGAUCCUGUGUCCUUGGAAAGCAUGGAUUCUGUGUCCACAGGAAAGACAGAGCCUGGACUCCUGGGCAAGCUGACUCCAGGCUCAUCCAGCAAGAAUGGGCCUGUAUCCUCUGGGACGGGGGCUCCUAGGUCCUCGGGAAGGCUGGAUCCCACAUGCUUGGGGAUGGCAGAUCCCGUAUCUGUGGGAAAUGGAGAAACUGUGCCCACCACAAAAGAGGACUCCUGGCUCCUGGGAAAGAUGGACGCUGCCUCCUCAGGAGAGGGGCGUCCUGUGUCUGGCCACACGGAUACCACGGCUUCAGCAAAGACAGAUCUCACGUCUUUCAAAAAGGUGGAUCCCGUGUCUUCAGGCAAGGUGGAUCCAGUUUCUCUGGGAAAGAUGGACCCCAUGUGCUCAGGAAAGCCAGAGCUCUUGUCUCCUGGACAGGCAGAACGUGUGUCUGUGGGAAAGGCGGGAACUGUAUCCUCAGGAAAAGAGGACCCGGUGUCCUCCAGAGAGGACCCCAUAUCUGUGGAAAGUAGAAAGACAUCAUCUGAAACAGUGAAUCCUGAGUCUUUGGGAAAGACAAACCCUGUGUCUUCAGGUCCAGGUGAUACCAGGUCCUUGGGGACAGCAGGUCCCCCAUCUGCAGUAAAGGCUGAGCCAGCGACUGGCGGAAAAGGAGAUCCCCUGUCUCCGGAGAAGGCAGGUCUGGCCGCCUCUGGAAAGGCGGCUCCCACAGCCUCAGGGAAGGCCAAGCCCCUGGCGGUAGGCAAGGAGGACCCUGUGAGCAGGGGAAAGGCAGACGCUGCCCCCUCUGGACAAGGGGACUCUGUGUCUAGAGGUAAAGUGGUCUCAACUCCAGGAAAAGCAGUCCCGGUGCCCUCGGGGAAGGUGGAUCCCGUGUCCCUGGGAAAAGCAGAGGCUAUCCCAGAGGGAAAGGUGGGUUCUCUGCCUCUAGAGAAGGGGAAUCCAGUUAACACCACAAAGGCGGAUCCCAAGGCCUCAGGGAAAGCAGAGGCGCAGUCUGGCGGCAAAGCAGAAACGAAGCUCUCUGGGCAAGAGGGCGCCACAGCACCAGGAGAAGCAGGGGCUGUGUCUUUGAAAAAGGAGACACCGCAGGCCUCAGAGAAGGUGGAUCCUGGAUCCUGCAGAAAAGCAGAGUCCAUCUCCCUUGCUUCAGGGAAGGGAGAGCCUGUGUCCCUGGGGAAGGCCGACUCUGCACCUUCCAGAAAAAUGGAGUCCUCAUCCUUGGGGAAGGUGGCCUCCCUGACUCUGGAGAAGACCAAGCCGCCCUCCUCCUCCAGGCAGUUAGACGGCAAAGCCCUCGGCUCAGCCCGGUCUCCCGAGGGUGCCAGGGGCAGUGAAGGCCGCGUGGAGCCGAAGCCCGAGCCCGUGUCCAGCACCGAGGCCUCCAGCCUCGGCCAGAAAGACCUGGAAGCCGCUGGGGCCGAGAGAAGCCCCCGCCCAGAGGCCGCAGCGCCCCCACCGGGACCGCGGACUCGCGACAACUUUACCAAGGCGCCAUCGUGGGAGGCGAGCGCCCUGCCGCCGCCGCGCGAGGACGCGGG
Molecule: long non-coding RNA, 2392 nt
Filed under: Cercocebus atys (sooty mangabey)
Lineage: Eukaryota; Metazoa; Chordata; Mammalia; Primates; Cercopithecidae
Description: lncRNA (ENSCATG00000045625.1)
Source: RNAcentral